RNAcentral lists this transfer RNA (84 nucleotides) under Spirochaetaceae bacterium. RNAcentral's name for it is "tRNA-Leu". It matches the Rfam family "tRNA". Rfam says of the family: Transfer RNA (tRNA) molecules are approximately 80 nucleotides in length. Their secondary structure includes four short double-helical elements and three loops (D, anti-codon, and T loops). Further hydrogen bonds mediate the characteristic L-shaped molecular structure. tRNAs have two regions of fundamental functional importance: the anti-codon, which is responsible for specific mRNA codon recognition, and the 3' end, to which the tRNAs corresponding amino acid is attached (by aminoacyl-tRNA synthetases). tRNAs cope with the degeneracy of the genetic code in two manners: having more than one tRNA (with a specific anti-codon) for a particular amino acid; and 'wobble' base-pairing, i.e. permitting non-standard base-pairing at the 3rd anti-codon position. RNAcentral also lists the same sequence under 1 other name. Lineage: Bacteria; Pseudomonadati; Spirochaetota; Spirochaetia; Spirochaetales; Spirochaetaceae. The record is from RNAcentral.
GCCGGCGUGGCGGAAUUGGUAGACGCAGCAGACUCAAAAUCUGCCGCCCGCAAGGGUGUGGGAGUUCGAGUCUCCCCGCCGGCA